UACAGGGGUGGCAAGCGUUGUCCGGAAUUACUGGGUGUAAAGGGUGCGUAGGCGGAUCGGUAAGUCAGUGGUCAAAUCCUAUAGCUUAACUAUAGACUAUCCAUUGAUACUGUUGAUCUUGAGUGCGAGAGAGAUGAGUGGAAUUCCAAGUGUAGCGGUGAAAUGCGUAGAGAUUUGGAAGAACACCAGUAGCGAAGGCGGCUCAUUAGCUCGUAACUGACGCUGAGGCACGAAAGCAUGGGUAGCAAACAGG
RNAcentral lists this ribosomal RNA (253 nucleotides) under uncultured bacterium. RNAcentral's name for it is "partial 16S ribosomal RNA". It matches the Rfam family "Bacterial small subunit ribosomal RNA", at positions 524 to 776 of the family's 1533-position model. The record is from RNAcentral.